Molecule: long non-coding RNA, 217 nt
Filed under: Mytilus galloprovincialis (Mediterranean mussel)
Lineage: Eukaryota; Metazoa; Mollusca; Bivalvia; Mytilida; Mytilidae
Source: RNAcentral
GUUUUGGUGAUGGUGAUGUGUUUGUAGAUCUUACUUUACUAAAUAUUCUUGCUGCUUACAAUUAUCUCUAUCUAUAACAGUACUUUCUGUGGAAAAUGUUAUUGAAAAUCUUCAAAUUUUAAGAAAAUUGUUAAAAAUUGACUAUGAAGGGCAAUAACUCCUUAGGGGGUCAAUUGACUAUUUUGGUCAUACUGACUUAUUUUAGUUCUUACUUUGC